Molecule: ribosomal RNA, 473 nt
Filed under: uncultured bacterium
Lineage: Bacteria
Description: bacterial SSU rRNA
Rfam family: Bacterial small subunit ribosomal RNA
Source: RNAcentral
GAUGAACGCUGGCGGCGUGCUUAACACAUGCAAGUCGAACGAAGAUGCCGGAGUGCUUGCACUUUGGCAGACUGAGUGGCGGACGGGUGAGUAACGCGUGGGUAACCUGCCUUAUACAGGGGGAUAACAGUUGGAAACGACUGCUAAUACCGCAUAAGCGCACGGUAUCGCAUGAUACAGUGUGAAAAACUCCGGUGGUAUAAGAUGGACCCGCGUCUGAUUAGCUAGUUGGUGAGAUAACAGCCCACCAAGGCGACGAUCAGUAGCCGACCUGAGAGGGUGACCGGCCACAUUGGGACUGAGACACGGCCCAGACUCCUACGGGAGGCAGCAGUGGGGAAUAUUGCACAAUGGAGGAAACUCUGAUGCAGCGACGCCGCGUGAGUGAAGAAGUAAUCGUUAUGUAAAGCUCUAUCAAGCAGGGAAGAUAGUGACGGUACCUGACUAAGAAGCUCCGGCUAACUACGUGCCAG